This 497-nucleotide ribosomal RNA is filed under the name uncultured bacterium. RNAcentral's name for it is "partial 16S ribosomal RNA". It matches the Rfam family "Bacterial small subunit ribosomal RNA", at positions 28 to 507 of the family's 1533-position model. The record is from RNAcentral.
GAUGAACGCUGGCGGCGUGCCUAAUACAUGCAAGUCGAGCGAACAGACGAGGAGCUUGCUCCUCUGACGUUAGCGGCGGACGGGUGAGUAACACGUGGAUAACCUACCUAUAAGACUGGGAUAACUUCGGGAAACCGGAGCUAAUACCGGAUAAUAUAUUGAACCGCAUGGUUCAAUAAUGAAAGACGGUUUUGCUGUCACUUAUAGAUGGAUCCGCGCCGCAUUAGCUAGUUGGUAAGGUAACGGCUUACCAAGGCGACGAUGCGUAGCCGACCUGAGAGGGUGAUCGGCCACACUGGAACUGAGACACGGUCCAGACUCCUACGGGAGGCAGCAGUAGGGAAUCUUCCGCAAUGGGCGAAAGCCUGACGGAGCAACGCCGCGUGAGUGAUGAAGGUCUUCGGAUCGUAAAACUCUGUUAUUAGGGAAGAACAAAUGUGUAAGUAACUAUGCACGUCUUGACGGUACCUAAUCAGAAAGCCACGGCUAACUACGUG